UACAGAGGGUGCGAGCGUUAAUCGGAAUUACUGGGCGUAAAGCGUGCGUAGACGGUUAUUUAAGUCGGGUGUGAAAGCCCCGGGCUCAACCUGGGAAUUGCAUUCGAGACUGAAUAGCUAGGGUACGGUAGAGGGAAGUGGAAUUUCCGGUGUAGCGGUGAAAUGCGUAGAUAUCGGGAGGAACACCAGUGGCGAAGGCGGUUGCCUGGAGCUUUGCUGACGCUGAUGCGCGAAAGCGUGGGGAGCGAUCCGG
RNAcentral lists this ribosomal RNA (253 nucleotides) under uncultured bacterium. RNAcentral's name for it is "partial 16S ribosomal RNA". It matches the Rfam family "Bacterial small subunit ribosomal RNA", at positions 524 to 776 of the family's 1533-position model. The record is from RNAcentral.